RNAcentral lists this ribosomal RNA (515 nucleotides) under uncultured Glomus. RNAcentral's name for it is "SSU rRNA". It matches the Rfam family "Eukaryotic small subunit ribosomal RNA", at positions 539 to 1064 of the family's 1831-position model. The record is from RNAcentral. Lineage: Eukaryota; Fungi; Glomeromycota; Glomeromycetes; Glomerales; Glomeraceae.
UUUCGGGAGGGCAAGUCUGGUGCCAGCAGCCGCGGUUAUUCCAGCUCCAAUAGCGUAUAUUAAAGUUGUUGCAGUUAAAAAGCUCGUAGUUGAAUUUCGGGGUCAGUAGGUUGGUCGUGCCACUGGUAUGCACUGGUCUCACUGAUUCCUCCUUCUUGUAGAACCGUAAUGCCAUUAAGUUGGUGUUGCGGGGAAACAGGACUGUUACUUUGAAAAAAUUAGAGUGUUUAAAGCAAGCUAACGCUUGAAUACAUUAGCAUGGAAUAAUGAAAUAGGACGAACGAUCCUAUUUUGUUGGUUUCUAGGAUUGACGUAAUGAUUAAUAGGGAUAGUUGGGGGCAUUAGUAUUCAAUUGUCAGAGGUGAGAUUCUUGGAUUUAUUGAAGACUAACUACUGCGAAAGCAUUUGCCAAGGAUGUUUUCAUUAAUCAAGAACGAAAGUUAGGGGAUCGAAGACGAUCAGAUACCGUCGUAGUCUUAACCAUAAACUAUGCCGACUAGGGAUCGGAUGAUGUU